This 301-nucleotide ribosomal RNA is filed under the name uncultured bacterium. RNAcentral's name for it is "partial 16S ribosomal RNA". It matches the Rfam family "Bacterial small subunit ribosomal RNA", at positions 509 to 807 of the family's 1533-position model. The record is from RNAcentral.
CAGUCGCCGCGGUAAUACGAAGGGUGCAAGCGUUACUCGGAAUUACUGGGCGUAAAGCGUGCGUAGGUGGUUGUUUAAGUCUGCUGUGAAAGCCCUGGGCUCAACCUGGGAAUUGCAGUGGAUACUGGGCAACUAGAGUAAGGUAGAGGAUAGUGGAAUUUCCGGUGUAGCAGUGAAAUGCGUAGAUAUAGGAAGGAACAUCAGUGGCGAAGGCGACCACCUGGACUGAUACUGACACUGAGGUGCGAAAGCGUGGGGAGCAAACAGGAUUAGAUACCCCUGUAGUCCCUGUCUCUUAUAC